AGAUCUGUUUAUCCAGUUUGUACUCCGAACAUGUCUAUAAAUAGCCAAGAUUUUUACGCUAUGCAGUUUAAUUAAAGGUUGGGAGUGCAUCUGUAUACAAUGAAGUUAUUCUGGAUAUUAGCAGUGAUUUUAUCAGUUGUAUCAUGGACGGGUGCAGCUCGCGGCGGAGGCUGUAUAUGUCCCGCAGUUUUUGACCCCGUGUGUGGGGUCGAUCGGACGACAUACAGCAACAGUUGUCGUUUGCAAUGCGCCAGAUUGCGGCUGUCACAUAAAGGAGCGUGUUAGUCAUAAAUUGAUAACAAACGAUGCUUUAAUAAACACUCGAUUAUAUUCAAAUAAUCAA
This is a long non-coding RNA of Pieris napi, 343 nucleotides long. RefSeq lists it as uncharacterized. The record is from RefSeq and is a predicted model, not a curated record. Lineage: Eukaryota; Metazoa; Arthropoda; Insecta; Lepidoptera; Pieridae. The transcript has 3 exons.